UACAGAGGGUGCAAGCGUUGUUCGGAAUUACUGGGCGUAAAGCGCGUGUAGGUGGCGAUGUAAGUCGAGUGUGAAAUCCCCGAGCUUAACUUGGGAAUUGCGCUCGAAACUACGACGCUGGAGUAUGGCAGAGGAAGGUGGAAUUCCACGUGUAGCGGUGAAAUGCGUAGAGAUGUGGAGGAACACCGAUGGCGAAGGCAGCCUUCUGGGACAAUACUGACGCUCAUGCACGAAAGCGUGGGGAGCAAACAGG
Molecule: ribosomal RNA, 253 nt
Filed under: uncultured bacterium
Lineage: Bacteria
Description: partial 16S ribosomal RNA
Rfam family: Bacterial small subunit ribosomal RNA
Source: RNAcentral